CCACCCAUGCCUCCCUCCACCCCUGCACUGGCAUCUUUGGGGGUCAACUGGACAGGCCCCUGCCUCUCCACCUCACUGAGGAUCUGACCUGAUGCUCUCUUGGCCUUGGGAUUCUGGAGGCCUGUCGUGGUAGGUCCUUACAUGGUCCAGGGACCGGGCCCCUUUGCCUCUGGGCCCCUGUAACUGGAGACAGGACGCAACUCUGAUCACCCAGCAGGCAGAGAAAAGGCAGAGGGCCGGCCAGAGGUACUUGGUGAACCAAGGUCUUUGGCCGAGCAGCGUGCUGGGGAAGUCGGGCAGCUGGAGGGAUUCUCUAACGAGGGCAGCGAGAGGGUCCUUUAAAUGUGGAAGAGGAAGCAGAAGGGUGACGCUGUGAGAAACACUGGCCUGGCCACUGAUUUGAGGAUGGAAGGGGAGCCAAGGUAGGCAGGUGGUCCCCAGAAUCUGGAAAAGGCGAGAUCGUGGUCUUCCUCUAGCGCCUUCAGAAGGAGCGCAGCCCUAUUGGAGUUUAGCUCAUUGAGAUCCGUUUUGGACUUCUGACCUCCAAAAUGUAAGAUAAUGAAAU
Long non-coding RNA from Diceros bicornis minor, 565 nucleotides. RefSeq lists it as uncharacterized. The transcript is spliced from 4 exons. The record is from RefSeq and is a predicted model, not a curated record. NCBI's taxonomy places the organism in Eukaryota, Metazoa, Chordata, Mammalia, Perissodactyla, Rhinocerotidae.